CCACUCCCUGUUCAGCCAUGGACUGGUCUCCUGGGCCCCUAAGGCCUCCCUCAGCCAGGUUCACUGCUCCCUCACUCACCAUGGACACAUCACCCAC
Long non-coding RNA from Phyllostomus discolor (pale spear-nosed bat), 97 nucleotides. RefSeq lists it as uncharacterized. The record is from RefSeq and is a predicted model, not a curated record. The transcript has 3 exons. Lineage: Eukaryota; Metazoa; Chordata; Mammalia; Chiroptera; Phyllostomidae.